RNAcentral lists this long non-coding RNA (484 nucleotides) under Sorghum bicolor (sorghum). Its description in RNAcentral is "long non-coding RNA (SBIC_LNC015107)". Lineage: Eukaryota; Viridiplantae; Streptophyta; Magnoliopsida; Poales; Poaceae. The record is from RNAcentral.
GGGGGUGUUUCCAAGUACACGGGCAUGGUGCUCGGGUAUGCGGAGACCCGAGGAUAUGCGGGUAUCCCACGGGCAGAGGGGUAGGUGGCAGGGUGGUGACAGCCCUAUCAUCCUUCGUAUUCCCCCACGUUCGGAUAUUUGGUAGGAGUCAUGUAAAGUCUCUAUUUGCUGGCAGACCAGCUAUGGAGAUCUCCCCAGUAUCUCAGACUUAGCCCUAACUUGUUCUUAUUAGCUAGAUGACCUGCUAACAGAUCUAUUGUAUAACUUGUAUACGACCAUGCCUGCUCACGUAAUUGUUCUUUUAUUCUUUGUUUUCCCUUUAUUCCUUGAGGUUGCUCCGAUGUGUGUCCGCUAUCAAAUAGACUACAUAUUUACCCCGGUUUAUACUAUGUCUACCAUGCAUUUCAAUAAGUAAUCAUGUUUAUAACCAAAGCUAGAUGCGUUCACAAUGCCUUCCUAUGGGAAAUUAUAAAUACGACACCCC